Molecule: long non-coding RNA, 2939 nt
Organism: Zalophus californianus (California sea lion)
Lineage: Eukaryota; Metazoa; Chordata; Mammalia; Carnivora; Otariidae
Source: Ensembl
CGCCCCAGGAACCAGUCAUUAGAAGGAGCAGACAUAACUUCUCCUCCCAGCAGGAAGCCUGUUGAUAAAGAAGAGGAGCCCCUGGAACAGCAUGGCUGACCCUUGUCCCCAGACCUUUUCCUCACGUGAACUGGCAGGUGAAGUCUGCUCAGCUACCUCACGUGCUCCAGGCUUACAAACCAAGGUCCACUUUUAGAGCUGCCGGUGGGGAUGACAUCUGUUUGGCACUGGGCUGUGGGCCGGGCUCCCGGGUGAAACCGGCUCCCAGUGCCUGUCUUUCAGAGCCCGUGUCUGCAGGAUGCUGUUUUUCCAGGACAGCCUCUACCUUCAGAAUCACCUGAGCCUCACAAAUGCACCAGGAAUUCACCUUGCAGCCUGGCACAUUCUGAGUCCCUGUGUAGGGCGGCCGCUCCCAGAUUCUUCGAGAGAGCCUCAGCAGACCCGCCUUCCACCGCACGCCUCCCCCAGCCCCUCAGGUGUUUCUGCCUCGGGAUUUGGAGCUGUGGUGCCACCAGGCAGGGAUGUGUCUGCAUUUGUGUGUGACAUCAUUGAUCCUGGAUGGGAGUACCUGAUCCUCUGCCAGUGUGGAGGCAGCUGCCUGAGACCUGUGACCACCCACUGAUGGAGGGGAAAACAUGUGGGUCUAUUCCUACAAACUCACCCUUACCAGGCAAGAGAAGAAGGACUCAAAGCUUGUUAACUGCAGCUUGAUUGGAUGAGAGCGGGGAAUCCCCCUUCCAGUGGGUGGUUCUCCAAAAUGAUGGCCCACCCGACCACCAGAAAUAACGUGGGCACUGCUGAGACCUCAAGGACCAACAUGAUGAGAAUGGCCAAAGCUCCAUCCAUGUGUUUUUUAUCUUGAAGCCAGUCAUGUUAUUACCCUGUGCGACUUCUAAUAGUUUGGAGCCAAGGCCCUCACAAGUCAGGUGAACGCGCAUGUGAGGGAGGGUGAGGGUGAUUUGAUGAAGCUGGCAACACCUGCAGAAAACUUCGGUAAAGUCUGUGUGGACACUAUCUGAUGCACGCUGUGUUGGGGUGGAGGUUCUGUGCACAUCACAGAUGGAGAGAAAACCUUACAGACCUGGAGGCAAUGUGGUUGGAUGGUUGGAGAAGGCAGUUGCAUCUGUCCCGUAUCUGCUGAGUAUUAGGCAGCAGUAUGCUUUCUGGGAAUCAAGGAGAAGGGACCCAGGGCUUACCAGCGACUCCCCUCCAGGUCUUGGCAUUAGGAGAAUGCAGUUAACCUUUUUUUGUAGCAUUCUUCCUCACGUACGAUGAUUCCAUUUUCUUAACCCAUUGCCUUCCCCAGUAUAUUUCCCAGCUAGAAGCCCCUUGAAGACACAGAUGGUGCAUCAUUGGACACCCAGGGCUUAAUGCACAGCACCGGGCACAUUAUCCCCAGUCCCAAGGGUUUAUGGAAUGACUUACACCCUAACCUGGAAAUUGAGGAGGCUUUGGCAGGUUACAGGCUUCAUCAACAGGGAAUGUUGUCCAAUUGCUUCCAGGAGACAUACGGGAGACAAGGAGGGAGGUCGGCAUGAUCUAAAAUCAUGCUCGUGUCUAAAAAUCUGACAUAACUAAUUAAUUUACAAACGCCAAAGUCACCACAAGUGGUGAGUGGACUGAAAUGAUUACAGGAGGAGAAGAAAAGCACAGACAGAUCUUUCCGAUUACUGAAGGAAACCGCAAGUGGGGAGUGAAGGGUUGCAUUAAAUUUUGGGGGGAAUGUAAAUUGUCGGCACUUUCUCCAAGGGCUUCAGGUCCCGGGCGGUGGGUUGGCAUGUGAGACGCUGGGGUACGUGAGGGGCACCAUGAGUCUUAGAGAGGGUGGUGCCAAGGCUUAUCAGGGCACCAUGGCCUCUGGGGUCAGACCUGGUUUUGAAUCUGAGCUCAGUUCCUAGACUUUCUGUGAGUUGGGACACGUCGCUUGUCAGUCCCCAGUUUCACAUCUCUAAAAUAGGGACAAUCACAUGUACCUCAGAGGGUUGCAGUAAGGACCAAAUAGGUCACAAGUGAAAGCGUCCAGUAGUUUCUGGCAGUUACGACACGUUCAGUCAGUGUAAGUUUACUAUUAUUAUCUCUCUUACUGGCUUGUGCAAUGUACUCCAUCACAUCUCUGUUUCUUCGUCUGUGAAAAACAGAAUACAUCAGUUGUUGGGCACAUAGUUGAUGAUCAGUAUAGGUUUUAUUUAUAACUUUUUCUGACUUUUUGUUUGGAAACAAUUUUAGACUUAAAGUUGCAAAAAUAGUAGAGGGUUCUCCUUCACUCUACAGCAGGCUUCCCCUAAUGUUAACAUUGUAAUCAUAGUGCAUUGAUGAAUCCAGGAAAUUUACACCGGCAAGAGGCAAUGCCAUUCAUUAAAGUGCAGACCUCUUUGAAUUCCCCCAAAUGCUCUUUCCUGUCCCAGUUUCCAUACCAGGAUCCCAUGUUCCCUUUAGUCCAAUUUUUGACAGCUUUUUGUCUUUCACGACCUUGACACUUUUGACGAGGACUGGCCAAUUACUUGGAAGAGAUAUUUCUCAAUUUGGGUUUGCCUGAUGUUUUCUGGUGAUUAGAUCAAGGUUAUGUACUUUUGGCAGGAAUACCAGUCAUGAUGUUGUGUUACUUUUGUUUUUCUUUUAUCUUCAUCACGGUAAAAUACACAUAACGUACAACUUACCACUUUAAACUAUUUUAAAGUGUACAAUUCAGUGGCAUUUAGUACAUUCACAGUGUUGUGCACCCACCAUGUCCAUCUAGUUCCAUCACCCCCAAAAGCAACGCCUUCCCAACAGCUGCAGUCCCCAUUCCCAGUGCCCCCAGCCCCUGACAAUCACCUGUCUGCUUUCUGUCUAUGGAUUUGCCUAUUCUGGACAUUUCAUGGAAAUGAAAUCAUACAAUAUGUGAUCUUUCCUGGCUGGCUCUUUUUCACUUAGUAUCAUGUUUUCAAGUUUCAUCCCCG